This 98-nucleotide transfer RNA is filed under the name Pseudomonas asuensis. Its description in RNAcentral is "tRNA-Pro". The record is from RNAcentral. Lineage: Bacteria; Pseudomonadati; Pseudomonadota; Gammaproteobacteria; Pseudomonadales; Pseudomonadaceae.
UGGCCUGCUGGCUCGGUACGGAGGCGCUACAGGCUGGGGAUGAGUAUCGUCGCGGCUCGCUGCGGCUGUCUGUCGUUCCGUUUCGUCAGCAGGAUGAC